AUGCUGGUGGUUGACAUGGCGACCGAGGAGCUCCACAUGCAUCGUUUCCCGGUCGAGGACAACGAGUACUUCCUGGCCUUCGAUCCGCUGGUGAACUUGUGCCGUGCCCUGCAUAUGGUGGGCCCUCGCUCGAAACUCCAGUUCUGGGUUAUGUCACUGCCACCGGAGAACCAGUGGGCCGAGUACGACGACAACAAGCUAUGCUGGGAUCUGAGCUACAGCUUCUACACCGACGACGAUCGGUGGGUCACCUCGACGAGCACCUGGUUUGACGAUGGCAAGAAUGCGUUGUGCUUCAGAUGUGGUAGUUUUUAG
Molecule: ribosomal RNA, 315 nt
Filed under: Triticum aestivum (bread wheat)
Lineage: Eukaryota; Viridiplantae; Streptophyta; Magnoliopsida; Poales; Poaceae
Description: partial small subunit ribosomal RNA
Source: RNAcentral